GACGAACGCUGGCGGCGUGCUUAACACAUGCAAGUCGAGCGGAAAGGCCCUUCGGGGUACUCGAGCGGCGAACGGGUGAGUAACACGUGAGUAACCUGCCCUAGGCUUUGGGAUAACCCUCGGAAACGGGGGCUAAUACCGAAUAUUCAUGCGCUGCGGCAUCGUGGUGUGUGGAAAGUUUUUCGGCCUGGGAUGGCUCGCGGCCUAUCAGCUUGUUGGUGGGGUGAUGGCCUACCAAGGCGACGACGGGUAGCCGGCCUGAGAGGGCGACCGGCCACACUGGGACUGAGACACGGCCCAGACUCCUACGGGAGGCAGCAGUGGGGAAGUAUUGCACAAUGGGCGGAAGCCUGAUGCAGCGACGCCGCGUGAGGGAUGAC
This 380-nucleotide ribosomal RNA is filed under the name uncultured bacterium. RNAcentral describes it as "bacterial SSU rRNA". It matches the Rfam family "Bacterial small subunit ribosomal RNA", at positions 28 to 412 of the family's 1533-position model. The record is from RNAcentral.